RNAcentral lists this ribosomal RNA (402 nucleotides) under uncultured bacterium. Its description in RNAcentral is "bacterial SSU rRNA". It matches the Rfam family "Bacterial small subunit ribosomal RNA", at positions 355 to 774 of the family's 1533-position model. The record is from RNAcentral.
UCGGGAAUUUUGGGCAAUGGGCGAAAGCCUGACCCAGCAACGCCGCGUGGGGGAUGAAGUAUUUCGGUAUGUAAACCUCGAAAGAAUGGGAAGAAUAAAUGACGGUACCAUUUAUAAGCUCCGGCUAACUACGUGCCAGCAGCCGCGGUAAUACGUAGGGAGCAAGCGUUGUUCGGAUUUACUGGGCGUAAAGGGCGCGUAGGCGGCGCGGUAAGUCACUUGUGAAAUCUCUGAGCUUAACUCAGAACGGCCAAGUGAUACUGCUGUGCUAGGGUGCGGAAGAGGCAACCGGAAUUCUUGGUGUAGCGGUGAAAUGCGUAGAUAUCAAGAGGAACACCUGAGGCGAAGGCGGGUUGCUGGGCCGACACUGACGCUGAUGCGCGAAAGCCAGGGGAGCAAACG